This is a long non-coding RNA of Siniperca chuatsi (mandarin fish), 1394 nucleotides long. RefSeq lists it as uncharacterized. The transcript has 3 exons. NCBI's taxonomy places the organism in Eukaryota, Metazoa, Chordata, Actinopteri, Centrarchiformes, Sinipercidae. The record is from RefSeq and is a predicted model, not a curated record.
CAAGGGAAUGAAAAUGGUGAAAUAUUCAUGAGCAAGAGACAGGAGAGCAGAAAGAAAAGAGACAAAGAGUCAUGCAUGUGUGCGCUGCAUGCAUGUGUGUGAGUGAAAAAGCAGUGUAUUAUCCUCAUAAGAGGCCUCCCAGCUAAGAGGCCUUAUAUCAAACAUUGUCUUUUAUCUGCAGCGUCAGUUACAGCCUGCCACUAAUUUCCAUAGACGAGAGCUUCUAUACACUGUCCUACAGGAAGACAUUUGCAUAAAAAUAGAGGGGUCAGAAAAGGCUGAGAGCAUAUAAAGCCCUCUUUAGUUGUGUGAAGUUGUGUGUUGUAUGAGGCAGUGCAGAUGUGUGUGUGAAGCUCGGUUUCUUGCCUUCAGGCAGAACAGAACAGAAGGUGUGUUGAAAAAAAUGUUUGAAAAAGAUUAAUGUUAUACAACCUGUUUCUCUUAAAACAGAGCUAGAGGAGUGGGUUUGAUUACUGAAUGUUGAUAUCACAUAAAUGUUAUCACACACUGCCCUCUUCUGGCCUUUAGCUUGCACUGCUGCACAGACACAUGUGGUGCUGUUGACGUUUCCUGUGAAUGCAGAGAGGGAGUGAUCAUGCUGAUGCUCUGCUUCUGAAAAUCAACUGACUCUAAAGUGGCACUUGGCUUAGAGGGUUUAUAAGUCUUCUGCGUCUUCACUGUUGCAACUAACUGAUCACCUCUACAACCUCGCAACUACAACAGACAGGAUCGUUCAAAAGACACAAAACGCACAGAGUCAAACCCUGACCCACAUAACAGCAAAAAAACAAACAGAGGUGACGGUUAGCCUAACCCAACUUGUCAACUGCAGUGAUUUCUCUGCUCCACCCUGGGAUGGACCAAGGACAGAGGUGUUGCUGGUUUGACUGGUCUGUGGAACAGUUAACAAAAGACAUGCAUGUAAAGAAGUUGUUUUAGCUGUACUUUCACACAUUAAAGCCUGACAUGUGAUGUUGAGACAGAGAGAAGAAAGUCAAGAUUGAUUUUACUGAUGCAAUCAAAGUGUUUAUCAGCUAUAUAGAUUGUAAAGAUUGCGAAAACCUGAAAUUUGGUUGGAGAUUAAUAUGAAUAUCUUUUAGAACUAAUAAUACUUCCAAUGACAAAAUACAAAUUUUAAAAUUUUAAAAUACUCAGUCAGUCCCCCACCCCCAAACAUCUCAACAUUUUUUAGUAACUGGAUUUUUCGUUAUCUAUUUAAUUAGUUGUUCAGUUGCAUUGUCUGCAAGAUUUAUUUAAAAGGAGCAUUCGCAUAACAGCUUAUAAACUCAACCCAACUAACUCAUCUCUAGCUAAAAGACCCGUUUUAGAACAUUUCCUCCACUUUACCUGUAGAUUACAUACUGCAUGUUUUUCUGGGAAACUUCCUACAAAUU